This 469-nucleotide ribosomal RNA is filed under the name uncultured bacterium. RNAcentral's name for it is "bacterial SSU rRNA". It matches the Rfam family "Bacterial small subunit ribosomal RNA", at positions 329 to 795 of the family's 1533-position model. The record is from RNAcentral.
UGCCAGACUCCUACGGGAGGCAGCAGUGAGGAAUAUUGGUCAAUGGGCUUACGCCUGAACCAGCCAAGUCGCGUGAGGGAAGACUGCCCUAUGGGUUGUAAACCUCUUUUGUCAGGGAGCAACGCCGGCUACGUGUAGCCGGACUGAGAGUACCUGAAGAAAAAGCAUCGGCUAACUCCGUGCCAGCAGCCGCGGUAAUACGGAGGAUGCGAGCGUUAUCCGGAUUUAUUGGGUUUAAAGGGAGCGUAGGCCGGUCUUUAAGCGUGCCGUGAAAUUUUGUGGCUCAACCAUGAGAGUGCGGCGCGAACUGGAGACCUUGAGUGCGCGGAAGGCAGGCGGAAUUCGUGGUGUAGCGGUGAAAGGCUUAGAUAUCACGAAGAACCCCGAUUGCGAAGGCAGCCUGCCGCAGCGUUACUGACGCUGAAGCUCGAAAGCGCGGGUAUCGAACAGGAUUAGAUACCCUAGUAUC